UCCCUUAAAAAACUAUUUUAUUUCAUAAUAGGCGAGUUUAUUAAAUAAAUUUCACCCAAGGCAUUAAAAAUUAUGUAUUUGAUGACUCUGCACAGAGUAAGCUCAACUAACAUGCCAUAGAACAUUGUGGCUUUCCUUAUAUUUGAUGACUCUGCACAGAGUAAGCUCAACUAACAUGCCAUAGAACAUUGUGGCUUUCCUUAUAUUUCUUAAGGGCAGGAAAACAAAAUAAUGGUGACACGUGUUGAGGGGAGGGAAUGCAGACCCUAGGAUUAUCU
RNAcentral lists this long non-coding RNA (278 nucleotides) under Salvia miltiorrhiza (redroot sage). RNAcentral describes it as "long non-coding RNA (SMIL_LNC010896)". Lineage: Eukaryota; Viridiplantae; Streptophyta; Magnoliopsida; Lamiales; Lamiaceae. The record is from RNAcentral.